AUUGAACGCUGGCGGCAGGCCUAACACAUGCAAGUCGAACGAGUGGCGGACGGGUGAGCAAUUGCUGGGAAAGUGCCUGAUGGAGGGGGAUAACUACUGGAAACGGUAGCUAAUACCGCAUACCAUGCGAUGUGCCCAGAUGGGAUUAGCUUGUCGGUGGGGUAACGGCUCACCAAGGCGACGCUCCCUUGGUGGUCUGAGAGGAUGACCAGCCACACUGGAACUGAGAAACGGUCCAGACCCCCACGGGAGGGAGCAGUGGGGAAUAUUGCACAAUGGGCGCAAGGCUGAUGCAGCCAUGCCGCGGGUAUGAAGAAGGCCUUCGGGUUGUAAAGUACUUGCAGCGGGGAGGCGGUACCCGAAGAAGAAGCACCGGCUAACUCCGUGCCAGCAGCCGCGGUAAUUC
This 406-nucleotide ribosomal RNA is filed under the name uncultured bacterium. RNAcentral describes it as "partial 16S ribosomal RNA". It matches the Rfam family "Bacterial small subunit ribosomal RNA", at positions 29 to 526 of the family's 1533-position model. The record is from RNAcentral.